UGUUGUUAUUUUGUUGUUUUUGUCUUUUGAGCAGGAUAUUGCUGUGUAGUCCAGCUGGCAAUGAAUUCACUGUGUAGCUCCAGCUGGCCUCUAACUCAUGGCAAUCUUCCUGCCUCAGCCUC
RNAcentral lists this microRNA precursor (122 nucleotides) under Cavia porcellus (domestic guinea pig). RNAcentral describes it as "miRNA (ENSCPOG00000031652.1)". The record is from RNAcentral. Lineage: Eukaryota; Metazoa; Chordata; Mammalia; Rodentia; Caviidae.